ACGGGGGGAGCAAGCGUUGUUCGGAUUUACUGGGCGUAAAGGGUGCGUAGGCGGCUUUCUAAGUCGGAUGUGAAAACUCUGGGCCCAACCCAGAGCCUGCAUCUGAAACUGGAGAGCUAGGGUUCUGGAGGGGAAAGCGGAAUUCCUGGUGUAGCGGUGAAAUGCGUAGAUAUCAGGAGGAACACCGGUGGCGAAGGAGGCUUUCUGGACAGAUACCGACGCUGAGGCACGAAAGCUAGGGGAGCAAACAGGA
Molecule: ribosomal RNA, 253 nt
Filed under: uncultured prokaryote
Description: partial 16S ribosomal RNA
Rfam family: Bacterial small subunit ribosomal RNA
Source: RNAcentral